Molecule: transfer RNA, 72 nt
Filed under: Ictidomys tridecemlineatus (thirteen-lined ground squirrel)
Lineage: Eukaryota; Metazoa; Chordata; Mammalia; Rodentia; Sciuridae
Description: Spermophilus tridecemlineatus (thirteen-lined ground squirrel) tRNA
Rfam family: tRNA
About the family: Transfer RNA (tRNA) molecules are approximately 80 nucleotides in length. Their secondary structure includes four short double-helical elements and three loops (D, anti-codon, and T loops).
Source: Rfam by way of RNAcentral
UGGGGUGUAGCUCAGUUGGUAGAGCGCUCGCCUGGCGUGCACAAGGCCCUGGGUUCAAUCCCCACACCACAA